Molecule: ribosomal RNA, 504 nt
Filed under: uncultured bacterium
Lineage: Bacteria
Description: partial 16S ribosomal RNA
Rfam family: Bacterial small subunit ribosomal RNA
Source: RNAcentral
AUUGAACGCUGGCGGCAGGCCUAACACAUGCAAGUCGAACGGUAGCACAGAGAGCUUGCUCUCGGGUGACGAGUGGCGGACGGGUGAGUAAUGUCUGGGAAACUGCCCGAUGGAGGGGGAUAACUACUGGAAACGGUAGCUAAUACCGCAUAACGUCGCAAGACCAAAGUGGGGGACCUUCGGGCCUCACACCAUCGGAUGUGCCCAGAUGGGAUUAGCUAGUAGGGGGGGUAAUGGCUCACCUAGGCGACGAUCCCUAGCUGGUCUGAGAGGAUGACCAGCCACACUGGAACUGAGACACGGACCAGACUCCUACGGGAGGCAGCAGUGGGGAAUAUUGCACAAUGGGCGCAAGCCUGAUGCAGCCAUGCCGCGUGUAUGAAGAAGGCCUUCGGGUUGUAAAGUACUUUCAGCGGGGAGGAAGGCGGUGAAGUUAAUAGCUUCACCGAUUGACGUUACCCGCAGAAGAAGCACCGGCUAACUCCGUGCCAGCCGCCGCAGUAA